AUUGAACGCUGGCGGCAUGCCUUACACAUGCAAGUCGAACGGCAGCACGGGGGUUUGCACCGGUUGCCGAGUGGCGAACGGGGGAGUAAUACAUCGGAACAUGUCCUGUAGUGGGGGAAGGCCCGGCGAAAGCCGGAUUAAUACCGCAAACGAUCAACGGUGAAAAGCGGGGGCCCUUCGGGCCUCGCGCUUUGGGGUUGGCGGAUGGCUGAUUAGCUAGUUGGUGGGGUAAAGGCCUACCAAGGCGACGAUCAGUAGCUGGUCUGAGAGGACGACCAGCCACACUGGGACUGAGACACGGCCCAGACUCCUACGGGAGGCAGCAGUGGGGAAUUUUGGACAAUGGGCGAAAGCCUGAUCCAGCAAUGCCGCGUGUGUGAAGAAGGCCUUCGGGUUGUAAAGCACUUUUGUCCGGAAAGAAAUCCUUGGCCCUAAUACGGUCGGGGGAUGACGGUACCGGAAGAAUAAGCACCGGCUAACUACGUG
This 486-nucleotide ribosomal RNA is filed under the name uncultured bacterium. RNAcentral's name for it is "partial 16S ribosomal RNA". It matches the Rfam family "Bacterial small subunit ribosomal RNA", at positions 29 to 507 of the family's 1533-position model. The record is from RNAcentral.